GGAAAGGUGCAGGAGUGGUUGAACUGGAACGCCUGGAAAGCGUUUGUACGGCGCAAACCGUACCGAGGGUUCGAAUCCCUCCCUUUCCG
This 89-nucleotide transfer RNA is filed under the name Armatimonadota bacterium. RNAcentral's name for it is "Armatimonadetes bacterium tRNA-Ser". It matches the Rfam family "tRNA". From Rfam's summary of the family: Transfer RNA (tRNA) molecules are approximately 80 nucleotides in length. Their secondary structure includes four short double-helical elements and three loops (D, anti-codon, and T loops). The record is from RNAcentral. RNAcentral also lists the same sequence under 4 other names. Lineage: Bacteria; Bacillati; Armatimonadota.